AUUGAACGCUGGCGGCAGGCCUAACACAUGCAAGUCGAACGGUAACAGGAAGAGGCUUGCUUCUUUGCUGACGAGUGGCGGACGGGUGAGUAAUGUCUGGGAAACUGCCUGAUGGAGGGGGAUAACUACUGGAAACGGUAGCUAAUACCGCAUAACGUCGCAAGACCAAAGAGGGGGACCUUCGGGCCUCUUGCCAUCGGAUGUGCCCAGAUGGGAUUAGCUAGUAGGUGGGGUAACGGCUCACCUAGGCGACGAUCCCUAGCUGGUCUGAGAGGAUGACCAGCCACACUGGAACUGAGACACGGUCCAGACUCCUACGGGAGGCAGCAGUGGGGAAUAUUGCACAAUGGGCGCAAGCCUGAUGCAGCCAUGCCGCGUGUAUGAAGAAGGCCUUCGGGUUGUAAAGUACUUUCAGCGGGGAGGAAGGGAGUAAAGUUAAUACCCUUGCUCAUUGACGUUACCCGCAGAAGAAGCACCGGCUAACUCCGUG
This 490-nucleotide ribosomal RNA is filed under the name uncultured bacterium. Its description in RNAcentral is "partial 16S ribosomal RNA". It matches the Rfam family "Bacterial small subunit ribosomal RNA", at positions 30 to 507 of the family's 1533-position model. The record is from RNAcentral.